Molecule: ribosomal RNA, 1473 nt
Filed under: Lacticaseibacillus rhamnosus
Lineage: Bacteria; Bacillati; Bacillota; Bacilli; Lactobacillales; Lactobacillaceae
Description: bacterial SSU rRNA
Rfam family: Bacterial small subunit ribosomal RNA
Source: RNAcentral
AUGGGGGGGGGGUGCCUAUACAUGCAAGUCGACGAGUUCUGAUUAUUGAAAGGUGCUUGCAUCUUGAUUUAAUUUUGAACGAGUGGCGGACGGGUGAGUAACACGUGGGUAACCUGCCCUUAAGUGGGGGAUAACAUUUGGAAACAGAUGCUAAUACCGCAUAAAUCCAAGAACCGCAUGGUUCUUGGCUGAAAGAUGGCGUAAGCUAUCGCUUUUGGAUGGACCCGCGGCGUAUUAGCUAGUUGGUGAGGUAACGGCUCACCAAGGCAAUGAUACGUAGCCGAACUGAGAGGUUGAUCGGCCACAUUGGGACUGAGACACGGCCCAAACUCCUACGGGAGGCAGCAGUAGGGAAUCUUCCACAAUGGACGCAAGUCUGAUGGAGCAACGCCGCGUGAGUGAAGAAGGCUUUCGGGUCGUAAAACUCUGUUGUUGGAGAAGAAUGGUCGGCAGAGUAACUGUUGUCGGCGUGACGGUAUCCAACCAGAAAGCCACGGCUAACUACGUGCCAGCAGCCGCGGUAAUACGUAGGUGGCAAGCGUUAUCCGGAUUUAUUGGGCGUAAAGCGAGCGCAGGCGGUUUUUUAAGUCUGAUGUGAAAGCCCUCGGCUUAACCGAGGAAGUGCAUCGGAAACUGGGAAACUUGAGUGCAGAAGAGGACAGUGGAACUCCAUGUGUAGCGGUGAAAUGCGUAGAUAUAUGGAAGAACACCAGUGGCGAAGGCGGCUGUCUGGUCUGUAACUGACGCUGAGGCUCGAAAGCAUGGGUAGCGAACAGGAUUAGAUACCCUGGUAGUCCAUGCCGUAAACGAUGAAUGCUAGGUGUUGGAGGGUUUCCGCCCUUCAGUGCCGCAGCUAACGCAUUAAGCAUUCCGCCUGGGGAGUACGACCGCAAGGUUGAAACUCAAAGGAAUUGACGGGGGCCCGCACAAGCGGUGGAGCAUGUGGUUUAAUUCGAAGCAACGCGAAGAACCUUACCAGGUCUUGACAUCUUUUGAUCACCUGAGAGAUCAGGUUUCCCCUUCGGGGGCAAAAUGACAGGUGGUGCAUGGUUGUCGUCAGCUCGUGUCGUGAGAUGUUGGGUUAAGUCCCGCAACGAGCGCAACCCUUAUGACUAGUUGCCAGCAUUUAGUUGGGCACUCUAGUAAGACUGCCGGUGACAAACCGGAGGAAGGUGGGGAUGACGUCAAAUCAUCAUGCCCCUUAUGACCUGGGCUACACACGUGCUACAAUGGAUGGUACAACGAGUUGCGAGACCGCGAGGUCAAGCUAAUCUCUUAAAGCCAUUCUCAGUUCGGACUGUAGGCUGCAACUCGCCUACACGAAGUCGGAAUCGCUAGUAAUCGCGGAUCAGCACGCCGCGGUGAAUACGUUCCCGGGCCUUGUACACACCGCCCGUCACACCAUGAGAGUUUGUAACACCCGAAGCCGGUGGCGUAACCCUUUUAGGGAGCGAGCCGUCUAAAAGGGACCAG